GAAGUUUAAAUAUUAGUACAAAGCAUGUGGAUGUUUGCAUUCACUUUCUCGCCUUGACGUUUUCUCUCCCCUUGGAGAGGAUAAUAAACUACAGGGUCGGGAGGAGGAAGACUUGGGCUUCUCAGUAGUCUCUCAAAUGGGGUGUAAACAGAUCUCUGAACAAUCAGAGCCCUUCACUAGCUUCAGAACAGGAUAAGGAUUAAGAAGACAAGCUUUGAAAAUAGAUAAACCUGAGCCUGUCCCUUGAAAGUUUCCAAGUCUCUGUUCCCAUAUCUGUAAAAUGGAGCAAUGAUGCUCAACCACAGGGUGGCUGAGGAAAUCAAAUAAGAUGAAAUGUAUGAAAUACUUAGCACAGGGUUUGGCAAACAGCAAGAACUCGAAUGAACAGUAGUCUUUACUAUUAUUAAUGAUGGAUAGUGGCUAAUACUCAUUUAAUAUCUAGUGUCCUUUGCGUGGAAUGUUCCUGACCCUCCCCUCUGGUGUUUAUCUGUGGCUCAACUGGCCACACAGGGAGUGUCAAGUACAGCUCUGUAACCUUGGUGCCCUUCUUGGGUUUUAUCCAGAGACCAACUCAGCACAAUGCCCCUGCGGAAAGGAUGGGGUGGGAGUUGGGGAUAAAAAGGUGAAAAAUCAUGCCAGGUGCAGUGGGGGUUACGAUGAGAAGCGUGCCUUAGCCAAGCGAGAGCCACUGCAGACACCUCUUGGCAUUCCACCCAUGGGGACUGAGUAGCUUCUGCGUGCCAGGCUGGCCACAUUGGUGUCCUGAAGAGAGCACGUAUUUUCACUAUGCUAUCUUGGGGAUUGGGAACCUUAGGCACGUGAUUUUGGAAUGAAAUAUUGCUUUAGAAGAAAGAACAAAACAUUAGCUAGUUUAGACCAGUCCAGGAUAGGAGAGGAGAUAAGCCCUGCUGAAGAGCCCUGUUGAAAUCACAAAUGCUGCAUUAUCGUGGGAUGGAGAAAGAAGAUAAGUGUAACAUUUCUGUCUUCUGCCCACAUCAACUGAGGUGAUGGAAGAUGUGACUGCCCAAGAGAAUUAAGGUUAGGAAGUUAGACCCACAUUGAGGUGUCAUGGAGGAGCCCAAGAAGCUUCAAGGUCGUCCAGUCUGUCCUGCCGCCGGUACCACCUAGUGGCAGCCAGGAAUAUAUGUCCUGCCUUCUCAGGCGUGGUCUCCUUGGCCUGCCUGGUCUUCAGCCUCGUGACUCCAGCCUUGAUGAAGACACAGAGGAUCAGCAGACCGUCUGUGGAAAACACUGAACUCUCCUCUGAUUGUUUAUGAGGAACAUCUGACUUGUCAGUUUUCCGGAAGGAUUUAUAUAAAUGAAGGAAAGAGGAGAGGACUGCACUGGCACCUACCCCUUGGAAGUCUGUUCAGUGGUCUUCCCUCUGGAAUUGUAUUCCCUGAUGCUUUGUGGAGAUGGUUUGACCCCGGCAGCUUGAUUUCUAGUCUCAGGGGCCCUUCUGCAUCAGUGUCUUCAGGUUUUGAAAAAGUAA
Molecule: long non-coding RNA, 1492 nt
Organism: Globicephala melas (long-finned pilot whale)
Lineage: Eukaryota; Metazoa; Chordata; Mammalia; Artiodactyla; Delphinidae
Source: RefSeq, a predicted model, not a curated record